RNAcentral lists this transfer RNA (73 nucleotides) under Homo sapiens (human). RNAcentral describes it as "tRNA-Val-CAC-14-1". The record is from RNAcentral. Lineage: Eukaryota; Metazoa; Chordata; Mammalia; Primates; Hominidae.
GCUUCUGUAAUGUAGUGGUUAUCACAUUCGCCUCACACAUGAAAGGUCACCAGUUUGAGACCGGGCCAAAACA